CCUUGUGGCGAAGUGGGUGAUCCUAUGCUGCCGAGAAAAGCCUCUAGUGAGUGUCGUGGCGGCCCGUACCCCAAACCGACUCAGGUGGUCAGGUAGAGAAUACCAAGGCGAUCGGGUGAACUGUGGUUAAGGAACUCGGCAAAUUGCCCCCGUAACUUCGGGAGAAGGGGGGCCUCCGCUGGUGAUCAGACUUGCUUUGUGAGCUGGUGGGGGUCGCAGAGGCCAGGGGGAAGCGACUGUUUACUAAAAACACAGGUCCGUGCGAAGUCGUAAGACGAUGUAUACGGACUGACGCCUGCCCGGUGCUGGAACGUUAAGGGGACCGGUUAGCGGGACGUAAGUCCUGCGAGGCUGAGAACUUAAGCGCCAGUAAACGGCGGUGGUAACUAUAACCAUCCUAAGGUAGCGAAAUUCCUUGUCGGGUAAGUUCCGACCUGCACGAAUGGCGUAACGACUUCCCCGCUGUCUCAACCGCAGACCCGGCGAAAUUGCACUACGAGUAAAGAUGCUCGUUACGCGCAGCAGGACGGAAAGACCCCGGGACCUUCACUACAGCUUGACAUUGGCGUUUGGAACGUCUUGUGUAGGAUAGGUGGGAGACUGUGAAGCCGUCACGCUAGUGGUGGUGGAGUCAUUGGUGAAAUACCACUCUGGUCGUUUUGAACGUCUAACUUCGGUCCGUGAUCCGGAUCAGGGACAGUGUCUGGUGGGUAGUUUAACUGGGGCGGUUGCCUCCUAAAGAGUAACGGAGGCGCCCAAAGGUUCCCUCAGCCUGGUUGGUAAUCAGGUGUCGAGUGUAAGUGCACAAGGGAGCUUGACUGUGAGACCGACGGGUCGAGCAGGAGCGAAAGCUGGGACUAGUGAUCCGGCGGUGGCAUGUGGAAGCGCCGUCGCUCAACGGCUAAAAGGUACCCCGGGGAUAACAGGCUGAUCUUCCCCAAGAGUCCAUAUCGACGGGAUGGUUUGGCACCUCGAUGUCGGCUCGUCGCAUCCUGGGGCUGGAGUAGGUCCCAAGGGUUGGGCUGUUCGCCCAUUAAAGCGGUACGCGAGCUGGGUUUAGAACGUCGCGAGACAGUUCGGUCCCUAUCCGCUGCGCGCGCAGGAGACUUGAAAGGAGCUGUCCCUACGAGAGGACCGGGACGGACGAACCUCUGGUGUGCCAGUUGUUCCGCCAGGAGCAUGGCUGGUUGGCUACGUUCGGAAGGGAUAACCGCUGAAAGCAUCUAAGCGGGAAGCUCGCCUUGAGAUGAGGUCUCCCACCACGUGAGUGGGUAAGGCCCCCGGGAGACGACCGGGUUGAUAGGCCGGAGGUGGAAGCACGGUAACGUGUGGAGCUGACCGGUACUAAUAGGCCGAGGACUUGACCAA
RNAcentral lists this ribosomal RNA (1368 nucleotides) under metagenome. RNAcentral describes it as "bacterial LSU rRNA". It matches the Rfam family "Bacterial large subunit ribosomal RNA", at positions 1578 to 2925 of the family's 2925-position model. The record is from RNAcentral.